Molecule: long non-coding RNA, 248 nt
Organism: Sinocyclocheilus anshuiensis
Lineage: Eukaryota; Metazoa; Chordata; Actinopteri; Cypriniformes; Cyprinidae
Exons: 3
Source: RefSeq, a predicted model, not a curated record
GACGCUGAAAUGUUUGAAACUGUUUCAAUUUUCAUUUGGGACUGUGGCUGCACCACCGGCAUCUUGCACAAGAAAGACACACGCAUGUCGUUCAGUUUUGAGUUCGCUGGAAAAUCAUACUGAGUACUGUGGGGAAUACACCACUCUUGCAUUCACCUGCAUCUCUCAUAGGAAGGGGACACUCGUUCAGUUUUCAACUCCGUUCAGAAUCUUAGAAUGUCAGAAUAACAGUGCAAAAGAACCUGUUG